GUUAGUAAUUUUGAUUUGCAUUCAAAUAUAAUUAAGUAAUAUUCUUAAUCUUGCCUA
Molecule: transfer RNA, 57 nt
Filed under: Ammothea calmani
Lineage: Eukaryota; Metazoa; Arthropoda; Pycnogonida; Pantopoda; Ammotheidae
Description: tRNA-Ala
Source: RNAcentral